AAAUAUUUUAAGUGAAACAUAAAACGUUACAUAUAUAAUGUACCAUACAGUUCUAUCCAUUAAGUUUAACAGAAUUGUAUAUGUUUCUUGAAAUUAUUCUGUGAAAAUGAUUUACUUAUUUAGUGAAUUAGUAGUUUGCCUGUGGCAUUCCAUACCCUUCUAACGAGCCAGUUUCAAUUUAUAUAACAAUUUAAUGUGUUCUCCACCUCAUGGCCUAGUGAGAUAUUGUCUUAUAGUAUAACCUUAAUAAUACCCUUGUGCACUUACUACCUAAGGGAUCUUCCUUCUCUUUAUAUAUAACUGAAUACUUAAAGAAAAAAUAAAAAGCUCAGAAUUUAAUUGCUUUAUAGUAUUCUCUUUUUCAUGUCACCUUGUCUUCGCUUAUAUCUUACUGUUAACUAUUAACCUGCUAUCUGGACUUUCUACAUCCAACUGACAAGCUUUUCUGGAUUUUCAAAAAUUAAAAUGUUUCCAUCCCAGUACACUCUGAGAGCUGUGGGAUAGCCC
Non-coding RNA from Pelobates cultripes (western spadefoot toad), 507 nucleotides. The record is from the annotation of a GenBank genome assembly. NCBI's taxonomy places the organism in Eukaryota, Metazoa, Chordata, Amphibia, Anura, Pelobatidae.